UUUUGAAGCAAACGGCUUGCCAUACGUUGCAGCACAUACUCGGAUACUGAUGAUGCUUUACUGAUAGGGAGUGAUGAGUGCAAUGUUGGAACACUGAUAGUGAUAUGUUUCAUGGGAUAGGAAGUAAGUGUAAACUCCUCCAAACUGUCUAUACCUACGCUAGAUUAUGGUCUCACCAGACUCCAACCACCAGGAAUGGUAUUUGUCAACUCGAACUGUGCAUGAUCUAUAGUGAAACUCGUACUGGUCUAUGUCUUAUCGUCUCGUGAUCGUCAAUCUGCGGUUUACGAAGUUCAUGUUGCCAGUGUAUGUGAGUGUCGACGUCAUCAGUAACGGUGUUUUGAUAGCCAGUAACCAGGUGAUGGUUAUCUACUGCAGUACUACCUACAAGGAUUGUUGGAGGUUUCAACGUGAUCAACCCCUCGUCAAACAGUGAUGGACAUUGUUACCCGCUAUGCAGUUAUCUUCAGGAGUGAUCCUUAGAUGUCUUCGAAUAAUGCACACUGUUUUUGUGUAUGAGAGACUAGUUUACUUCUACUGUUUCUAGAUCAUUAUUGUUGUUUGUAUAAUAUUCCAUCUUCAUAGACAAUCGGUAUCAAGUUACAGAUAUGUGGUAUCUUUUAGUCGCAUUAUUGCAUAUGUUUGUGUCAACAUUGUAAUGUUUGUGUCAACUUUUUGCUCGCUAUAAUGUUCUUGAUUUCCAGCUUUGCCAGUUUUCCUUGUCCGGUAGCUAUACUUAGUCCUAUCUUAAAUUGAUUUACUAGGAGGAAUAGGCCUACUUAUUACCAAGUUAACUUUUCAUUUGUCCGACAUGGUCAGCUUUUCAUUUUGAGGCGUGGUAGUGCAAGGGAACUUCAUGCAUUACUCCUAACCAUUGGCAUGCUAUACUCACGGUCAUUUCAUUUCUAAUUUUAAACUCUGGGAAGACUUAAUGUGUUGACACUGCGUGUAGUUAUAGUUUGUGAUGCGUUGCCAUUUCAAAUACUAGGAUUUCUACUUGUCAACUCUUAGUUUUUCAGUUAUUAUAGCACUACAGAUGGCAGACCCAGCUCCAGGUGCAGCCCCAGCCGCAGCUCCAGCUCCAGCUCCAGCUCCAGCCCCAGCUCCAGCUCCAGCUCCAGGUGCAGCCCCAGCUCAACCAGUACUUAGACCAGCAGAUUUUCUUCCAGACCCUAAGUUUACUGGUGAAGAUGUAUCUAAUGAGAAAGCGAUCAGUCAUUGGUAUCUCUUUACAGACUAUUUGCAGGUCCAUGGAUUAGACAACCCCAAUGCUGCAGCAAUGCCAGCCGUAACGGUUAGGUUUAGAUUGUCCCUAGCAGGAAAUGCAAGAUUGUGGGCACAUGGUCGCAUGUUUACAGACCUGAAUGAUAUGAGAGCCUCAUUCAUCCAGCGGUUUAGCCAACACCAUAGCGAGUUUGCCAAUGUCAAAUACUUUGACAACAUUGUUUACAAAACAGGUGAAUCUGCAGAGCAGUUCUUGCAGAAGAUAAGAAUUGCAGGGCAGAUGAUAAACUACAAUGAUCAACAGAUCCGAACAAAGUUUUUACACUCUCUGCCAGAAGAAUGCCAGAGAGCAGUUGUCAUGGCCGCUCCAGUUGGAGCCAAUGCCCAAGUUCUUGCCAAUCUAGCCCUAAAGUACUUAGAUAUAAUGCCGAAAAGUGUAUCCUUUACAGAUCAGGUGCAUGUAGCAGCUCCCUCCCAAGAUGUAAGGGACAUCAAGAGUGACAUUCAAGAACUAGAAGCAAGCAUCAAAGACCUACAGGUGCAGUUUGCCAGCAAUGCAGCAGGAAGUUGUCGUCAUGAUGAUCAUAGGCCCAAUAGUCGGAGUCCCAGAAGACAGAGAAUGAGGAAUGAGUUCGGACACGGGUAUCGUCAUCGAUCUAAUAGCCCCUUUCGUCCUCGUACUCCCACCCAGGAUCAACAACGAGAACCCAGUCCUAGAAGGUCAACUGAUCGCCCGCAAAACAAGGGAUACCGUCUGUUCCAGUGUCAUUUCUGUGGGAAGUUUGGUCGUGGAUGGAGAAAGUGUUGGAGUUACCUCAAGAUGGCACAAGGUCAACAGGGACAGUCCUCUCGAUUUCAAGCUCAACAGGGACAACCCUCUCCAUUUCCAGCCCAACAAGGUCAGCACCCUAUGUUCCAGAUGCAAGCCGAUCACAUGAUGAACCAGUCUUCCUUUCAGCAAGACCCAGGCUCAGGUAGGUCAGGACAGUCAUGGCGACCCAGACAACCCAAUAGAGAUCAGAAUUUUCAGUAGGGGGUGGUUCAGAAGGACCAACUGAGUUACCCCGAGAAACUGUUAGAAAAGCUGAAGACCCAUCUGAAUUUUUAGGUACUGACACUACAGCCAUACAGUUAACAGCUAAUAAUUAUGCCAAAGGCUAUCUUGAUAGUAAAGAGGGUAUUCUCUUAUUGUUUGAUUCAGGAGCAACUUCUAGUCUUAUUUCAGGUUCUUGUAUACAGAUAUCGAAGUUUCUUAGUAGCUUGCCAGCAUUUGAUAUUGCACCAUGUUGCUUCAAAAUUGGUAAUGGAGAAUAUCUACAGACUAAUCAAGCACUAUCAUUCGAAGUUUCUAUUCAGGGUUGUAGGUUGAGAAUUUAUGCCUGCAUAGUAGACAACCUGACCGGCCCAGAUGUGUUGGUAGGAGCCUCUACGUUGUCCGCUUUGAAUGGUUCAUUAGAUUUUGCAACCCGUACUUUUACUGUGAGACCAAAGAAGGUUUGGUUCACACCUGUCAACCGUAGUAUCAUCAAACCCGGAGAAACAAAACAUGUAUUGGUGAAAGAUUUCAAGAAGAUGGUGACGUCAAAAUCGGGAUAUUCCUGGC
Lineus longissimus is the source of this 2827-nucleotide RNA transcript. RefSeq lists it as uncharacterized. The transcript is spliced from 2 exons. The record is from RefSeq and is a predicted model, not a curated record. Lineage: Eukaryota; Metazoa; Nemertea; Pilidiophora; Heteronemertea; Lineidae.